RNAcentral lists this transfer RNA (67 nucleotides) under Teliapsocus conterminus. Its description in RNAcentral is "tRNA-Tyr". The record is from RNAcentral. Lineage: Eukaryota; Metazoa; Arthropoda; Insecta; Psocodea; Amphipsocidae.
AAUAGGGUGGCUGAGAUAUAGGCGAUAAAUUGUAAAUUUAUAUAUGAAGAUAAUCCUUCCUCUAUUA